Molecule: ribosomal RNA, 483 nt
Filed under: uncultured bacterium
Lineage: Bacteria
Description: partial 16S ribosomal RNA
Rfam family: Bacterial small subunit ribosomal RNA
Source: RNAcentral
AUUGAACGCUGGCGGCAUGCUUUACACAUGCAAGUCGAACGGCAGCGCGGGCUUCGGCCUGGCGGCGAGUGGCGAACGGGUGAGUAAUACAUCGGAACGUGCCCAGUAGUGGGGGAUAGCUCGGCGAAAGCCGGAUUAAUACCGCAUACGACCUGAGGGUGAAAGCGGGGGAUCUUCGGACCUCGCGCUAUUGGAGCGGCCGAUGGCAGAUUAGCUAGUUGGUGGGGUAAAGGCCUACCAAGGCGACGAUCUGUAGCUGGUCUGAGAGGACGACCAGCCACACUGGGACUGAGACACGGCCCAGGCUCCUACGGGAGGCAGCAGUGGGGAAUUUUGGACAAUGGGCGAAAGCCUGAUCCAGCAAUGCCGCGUGUGUGAUGAAGGCCUUCGGGUUGUAAAGCACUUUUGGCGGGAACGAAAAGGACUGUGCCAAUACCACGGUUCGAUGACGGUACCCGCAGAAUAAGCACCGGCUAACUACGU